UCUUUGUUAAUCUGACUGUUAUUUCUAUUGUCAUUUACCUAUCAAAAAGACGAAAGUACAGAGAUGUUGACCAUUCAUGGUUGUCCAGUUUCAUUGACGUCCGUAAACCUGAUAUCCAGCCUAGAGUUUUAUUCAGAAGUGACAUUCCAUUUCUAAGAUUCUAAAUAAGGAAGUAACCCCAUUAUUACAUGUAGAAGA
Molecule: long non-coding RNA, 198 nt
Organism: Saccostrea cuccullata (small rock oyster)
Lineage: Eukaryota; Metazoa; Mollusca; Bivalvia; Ostreida; Ostreidae
Exons: 3
Source: RefSeq, a predicted model, not a curated record